This is a non-coding RNA of Phasianus colchicus (ring-necked pheasant), 1143 nucleotides long. The record is from RefSeq and is a predicted model, not a curated record. NCBI's taxonomy places the organism in Eukaryota, Metazoa, Chordata, Aves, Galliformes, Phasianidae.
GAUGUUUUGAACGGAGAAUGAUGCUGAGAAGAUGCACCAUCAGCAUCUUGGACCUAAGCAUCCCAGAGGCUCCACAGUAGAGAGAUCUGUGCCAGCUCUGCAUGAACCUGUCCCAUACUUAACAGUAGGAGCAGCCAUUCCCAUUGCUCUGGGUAACACAUGUUCCCUCUCAUGCUGCUGGUAGCACUGAGGUUGCCUGGAACUGGGGAACAAUUAACAAAACACAGAAAUUGGAUGUUUAGCUGACUGACAACAGCAAGUUGUGAUAUACUGCACUUUUCAAGUGUUUAUUCCCCUGGCCUUGUCUACAAGCCAUGAAGGUACUGAUCUGAACGCAUUUCUCCCUUUGCUUGCCUGAGGCUCCCAUUCCUCCUUCAAUGUACUUUUUCAAAUUUCUUUUGAGAAACAAUACUUUCAAAUAAGCUAAUAGAGAAUAUAUAAUGAAAUAUGAGAAGAAUUCUGUGGAACCCAAUGUUUCGUUGUGUUCCCAGUUCACCUCCUUGCCUCAGGUUCCCUUUGUUCCCCCCUCCAUCCACCCACCAGCCUUCCCGUUUGUUCUUUUUCCUUUUGACUGCCCACUUUCACAUUCGUUUUGGCUUUCCUUCAGUCUUUUAAUGCUGCAUCUAUUCCUUGAAUUUACUAUAGUUUGACAUUCUGUUUCAUGAGUCACCACUGGGGACAGAGUUUGAAGGAGAUCAGAUUGCACAAAAGUAGUUCUUACGACUGCCAAAAACUAAUUUGAAUUCGUGCUCUUUAUUCCCUGAAUAAACUUUGUGGAUUCUUUUCUCUAUGCAUUUGCCUCAGAAGAUGAUGCAGUAAAUACUUGUAUUUAUUGCAUGUAAACGUCAGAGAUAGGGAGACCCUGAUUUCCUUUGCUUCUACCUUUGUGUAGAUCCUCAGCUUGCAAACCACACUGAAUUCGAGGCACUUCUCCAGCCCUCCCUUCUGCCUUCUUUGAGUUUGUUUGCUCUAAAACAGCAGGAAUGAUGCCAGUGCUCACCAAACAACACUUAAAUUCUCCAUACUACUCAGCUUUGCUGUGGUGUUUAAUCACCCUCAGAAGUUGUUCCUAGGUGUGCAUGUGUGACUAAAAUCAUAAGUCUUUAAAUAACUCCAUGCCAUUGUGGUGCAAGAUGAUGAGGU